GACGAACGCUGGCGGCGUGCUUAACACAUGCAAGUCGAACGGAAAGGCCCUGCUUUUGUGGGGUGCUCGAGUGGCGAACGGGUGAGUAACACGUGAGUAACCUGCCCUUGACUUUGGGAUAACUUCAGGAAACUGGGGCUAAUACCGGAUAGGAGCUCCUGCUGCAUGGUGGGGGUUGGAAAGUUUCGGCGGUUGGGGAUGGACUCGCGGCUUAUCAGCUUGUUGGUGGGGUAGUGGCUUACCAAGGCUUUGACGGGUAGCCGGCCUGAGAGGGUGACCGGCCACAUUGGGACUGAGAUACGGCCCAGACUCCUACUGGAGGCAGCAGUGGGGAAUAUUGCACAAUGGGCGGAAGCCUGAUGCAGCAACGCCGUGUGCGGGAUGACGGCCUUCGGGUUGUAAACCGCUUUCGCCUGUGACGAAGCGUGAGUGACGGUAAUGGGUAAAGAAGCACCGGCUAACUACGUG
Molecule: ribosomal RNA, 468 nt
Filed under: uncultured bacterium
Lineage: Bacteria
Description: partial 16S ribosomal RNA
Rfam family: Bacterial small subunit ribosomal RNA
Source: RNAcentral